GAAAUGCGAUAAGUAGUGUGAAUUGCAGAUGUAUAUGUGAAUCAUCGAAUCUUUGAACGCAAAUUGCACUCCCUGGUAUUCCGGGGAGUAUGCCUGUUUGAGGGUCGCCAAAUAAACAUCGAUAACGUUUGCUUUUUUUCGAAGUAUAAUGUUUAUCGGAUUUGAGCUUUCUUUAUCUUUAAUAUAUAAAGUGGCUUAAAAAUUUAAUUUUUUUGGUAUCUUCGAAAGCGUAUUUUACGAUCAAUUUCUGAUCAAAAAGAACGUUUCGAAUGCCAACAUCCUUCAAUGUAAUACGUUUGACUAUACGAAAAAUAAUAGUUCAUUCGUAUACGAUUAAUUUUUUUUUGACCUCAAAUCAGGUAAGAGUACCCGCUGAACUUAAGC
This 384-nucleotide unclassified non-coding RNA is filed under the name plant metagenome. RNAcentral's name for it is "partial contains 5.8S ribosomal RNA, internal transcribed spacer 2, and large subunit ribosomal RNA". The stretch from base 1 to 107 matches the Rfam family "5.8S ribosomal RNA", at positions 50 to 154 of the family's 154-position model. The record is from RNAcentral.